CAAUGGGCGAAGCCUGAUGCAGCAACGCCGCGUGAGCGAUGAAGGCCUUCGCNGUCGUAAAGCUCUGUCCUCAAGGNAAGAUAAUGACGGUACUUGAGGAGGAAGCCCCGGCUAACUACGUGCCAGCAGCCGCGGUAAUACGUAGGGGGCUAGCGUUAUCCGGAUUUACUGGGCGUAAAGGGUGCGUAGGCGGUCUUUUAAGUCAGGAGUGAAAGGCUACGGCUCAACCGUAGUAAGCUCUUGAAACUGGAGGACUUGAGUGCAGGAGAGGAGAGUGGAAUUCCUAGUGUAGCGGUGAAAUGCGUAGAUAUUAGGAGGAACACCAGUAGCGAAGGCGGCUCUCUGGACUGUAACUGACGCUGAGGCACGAAAGCGUGGGGAGCAAACAGGAUUAGAUACCCUGGUAGUCCAAGGGCGAAUUC
This 422-nucleotide ribosomal RNA is filed under the name uncultured bacterium. RNAcentral describes it as "SSU rRNA". It matches the Rfam family "Bacterial small subunit ribosomal RNA", at positions 369 to 808 of the family's 1533-position model. The record is from RNAcentral.